RNAcentral lists this non-coding RNA (29 nucleotides) under Homo sapiens (human). Lineage: Eukaryota; Metazoa; Chordata; Mammalia; Primates; Hominidae. The record is from RNAcentral.
UGACCUGAGUUGUGGCUAAACAUAUAGAC